AGCAGCCGCGGUAAUUCCAGCUCCAAUAGCGUAUAUUAAAGUUGUUGCAGUUAAAAAGCUCGUAGUUGAAUUUCGGGGUCAGUAGAUUGGUCAUGCCUCCGGUAUGUACUGGUCUUACUGGCUCCUCCUUCCUGAUGAACCGUAAUGCCAUUAAUUUGGUGUUGCGGGGAGACUGGACUGUUACUUUGAAAAAAUUAGAGUGUUUAAAGCAGGCUAACGCUUGAAUACAUUAGCAUGGAAUAAUGAAAUAGGACGUUCGAUCUUAUUUUGUUGGUUUCUAAGAUUGACGUAAUGAUUAAUAGGGAUAGUUGGGGGCAUUAGUAUUCAAUUGUCAGAGGUGAAAUUCUUGGAUUUAUUGAAGGCUAACUACUGCGAAAGCAUUUGCCAAGGAUGUUUUCAUUAAUCAAGAACGAAAGUUAGGGGAUCGAAGACGAUCAGAUACCGUCGUAGUCUUAACCAUAAACUAUGCCGACUAGGGAUCGGAUGAUGUUAAUUUUUAAUGACUCAUUCGGCGCC
Molecule: ribosomal RNA, 516 nt
Filed under: uncultured Glomus
Lineage: Eukaryota; Fungi; Glomeromycota; Glomeromycetes; Glomerales; Glomeraceae
Description: SSU rRNA
Rfam family: Eukaryotic small subunit ribosomal RNA
Source: RNAcentral